RNAcentral lists this long non-coding RNA (6932 nucleotides) under Malus domestica (apple). RNAcentral's name for it is "long non-coding RNA (MDOM_LNC003531)". Lineage: Eukaryota; Viridiplantae; Streptophyta; Magnoliopsida; Rosales; Rosaceae. The record is from RNAcentral.
GCUGCUGUGGUUUUGGUUGCAAUUGCAGGCAAUGGCGGUUUUGUUCAGGUUGCUAAUGCUCAGAACAUAUGCAACGUCUCUGUCACCGAUUUGAUGAAGUGUAGGCCGGCUGUGACUUCUCCGAAUCCGGCACCGCCUACUAAAGCCUGCUGCGCCGCGCUGUCGCACGCCAACCUGAGCUGCCUUUGCUCCUACAAGAACUCCAGUGUCUUGCCUUCUCUGGGAAUUGACCCUAACCUUGCCCUACAGCUUCCCGCCAAGUGCAAGCUUCCCCAUCCUGCCAAUUGCUAGACAGAGCGACGUACACAAUGGUCUAAUCAACAAACAUGAUUUAGUUACGAUUAAGAUAUGAUUAAUCGUGUAAUCAUGUACAACUUUGGAUAAUUAAUAUGCUUUCCUAUGUGUAAUGUAAGCAUGUUUAGUUGGAUGUGUGCGUUUGUCCAAUUUGCUAUCAUGUUAUGUAAUAUUAUUAAUAAUACAAAUCUCGUUUUUUUUUUUUUUUCCGGUAACAAGCCUCUUUGAAUACAAAUUUUAGGGACAGGACUUACCACAGGCCUCUUUCAAUACAAAUCUCGGCUUUCACAUAAGUGGUUACGUUCAAAUUAUUGAAUAUAUAAUUAAGAUUGCAGUCACAUAUUUCACAUAUAACUCUAGUUUUUUUAUAUGGUUUUCGAGAGAAGAAAUUUAUUAAGCUAAUAGGCUCCAGCAAGUGAGGAAUAUCUCCCAUCAAAAUUUCACAAGUAUUAUCUCUACUAAUUAAUGAAAUCCUUUUUGUCAACCAAAAGAAAGUGAAAAAAACAAUUAGUCUUCUAUCACAAAAAAAAAAAAAUUGAUGGGCAAUAAUGUAAUUUCACAGGUUCAAAUUUUAUUGUUUUUUAUUAAAACCUCACCUACAGGUGAUGUUAAAAUACCUCCAAUAUUAUUAUAAAAAAAACAACCAUAAACAAAAACCUUCCACUCCACCCAUGUUCUCUCUCUCUCCCUCUCUCCUUCUCAUUUUCUAAAAAAAAUGUGUUCAUACACACAAAGUGUGUAGGCAAAUGUUAGUAAUUAUUAAGAUGAUUAAGAUCUAAAGAUUCCUAAUCCUUCAACAGUGUGUGUGUGUGUGUGUGUGUGUGUGUGUGUGUGUGUGUGUGUGUGUGUAAUAACUGAACAACACUUUGGUUCCACAUUAAUUUGUAAAGAAAUUCCUUCACAAUUUUGUGAAGCCAAAAAAUUGUUCUUAAAAUGAUUCGUCGUCCAAAUGUGCUGAUGCAUCAACACAAUUUAAGAAAUUAAUUGGCAAUUUUAAGUCCCACGUUAAAUAUCCAAAGGUUAAAAUAUACUUUUGAGUUUUACUAUGAACUCUUGGAUAAUAUAAUAUAUACACGAAUGCAUUUUGAGUUGAGCAUAAUUCUUGUACAAAAUAAACAAAUGAACCUCUUAUACCAUAAGCUUUUAUGGAGAAGACGAGCAUCAUCUCCAAUAAUGUACAUACAAACGGGGGCCGUCAGACCGAUCUACUGGCGUCUACGGACGGUUCAACGCUCGAUGGAGAUACCUCUGCGCCGUAAUCCCAGAAUUGUUUCAGCUCGCGCCUUAUCAGUCCCAAAAUCACUACAACACCUGGUGACCAGAGAAGGAAUAAGAAGGCAAAGUAAAAUAUCUGCAAAUUUUAUCGGCCUAAAAUUGGAAAAACGCGUCUAGAAAACCAAACAGAAGAUGUAAGAUCAAUGCGCUGGAGAUUACCUAGUGUACAUGGAACGAGAUAGAGGAGUGCAGGCUGGCCGUUGCCAUUCAUGAGAUACAAACCCAGGUAAGUAAGACCGUGUCCUGGAAAAGGAAUAACGUUCCAUUUAAGACCGUGUCCUGGAAAAGGAAUAACGUUCCAUUAGUACCACAUGAGACAAUAUGGACAUGUUUAGUUCGAUCAUGCUGCAGUCUGCUAUUAAAAGGAAAUGAAAUAAAUACAGGAGCGUGAAAAUCACUACCGUAUCCAGAAUUCUAAUAACUAGGGCAAAUAAUACUAAUAACUACGGCAAGAACAAAAGAAGAAGAAAAGACAAGUAGGUUAGAAACUUAACAUAUGCAGACAAAAACAAGUGCGUUGAACUUAUCUGCAUCACAAGUAUAGAUCCCGUGACACCACAGCAUGGCCAACUUUUCGGUUCACGGGACCGCUGUCUGCAUGCAGUACUGCUCCUCCCAUUCCUUCCCACCACCACCACCACCACCAAUAAUAAUCCUUUGCUUCCAAGGUUAUAAAAAAACUAGGUGCUAGUUAGGCGGCAAACUGAGAUCUAAUGCCUAGGCGGUUAGGUGAGGCCUAGAAGGUGUCUGGGCGGACUAUGCGGAUUUAAGUAAAUUUAUUAUAUUUCGUAUAAAUAAAUAUUUGUUUAUACUUAAUAUUAUAUAUAUAUAUAUAUAUAUAUAAUUUCAUCACAAACUACAAAAUAGAAUGAUAUAUAUAUAUAUAUAUUAUGAAGUAUUGGAACACACUGAAAACAUGGGGAACAAACAUAUAAUGUGUGUUCAAUUAAGUAUUCAACAAGUCUCGCUUUCAAUUGAUUGAAAAAAAAAUGCAAAAUGAAAGUUAUCUAUUUUCUGUCUAAGUGAGUCGCAACCUAGACGAGUACUUAGACGGGCCUGGGAGGGCUAGGCAGGUGCCUAGGCGGUCUAGGCACCCCUUCUUAAUUUUGAAAUGCUUAGGCAUUAAUUGGGGUUGUGGCCAGCCGCCUAGCGCCGGGGAUUUUUAGAACAGUGUUUGCUUCUCAUUCCCCCUAUAAAACCCACCAACUUUGGAGCUCCAAAAACCACAACCUUAACGCACCAAACAAUUCCUAUAAGAAAAGAUAUGGAGGGUGCUCGUCAAAAGCUGGUCGUAGUUUUGGCUGCUGUGGUUUUGGUUGCAAUUGCAGGCAAUGGCGGUUUUGUUCAGGUUGCUAAUGCCCAGAACAUAUGCAACAUCUCUGUCACCGGUUUGAUGACUUGCAGGCCGGCUGUGACUUCUCCGAAUCCGGCACCGCCUACAAAAGCCUGCUGCGCGGCGCUGUCGCACGCCAACCUGAGCUGCCUUUGCUCCUACAAGAACUCCAGUGUCUUGCCUUCUCUGGGGAUUGACCCUAACCUUGCCCUACAGCUUCCCGCCAAGUGCAAGCUUCCCCAUCCUGCCAAUUGCUAGACAGAGCUACGUACAAAAUGGUGCAAUAAACAAACAUGAUUUAGUUACGAUUAAGAUAUGAUUAAUCGUGCAAUCAUGCACAACUUAGGAUAAUUAAUAUGCUUUCCUAUAUGUAAUGUAAGCAUCUUUAUAGUUUGGAUGUGUGCGUUUCUUUUGUCGUUCUAUUUCAAUUUGCUAUCAUGUUUUCGAUAUAAUGUAAUAUUAUUAAUAAUACAAAUCUCGGUUUUCUUUUUUUUUUCUUUUUUUCUUUUUCCGGUAACAAGCCUCUUUGAAUACAAAUUUUAGAAACGGAACUUACCACAAGCCUCUUUGAAUACAAAUCUCGGUUUUCACAUAAGUGGUUACGUUCAAAUUAUGGAAUAUAUAAUUAAGAUUGCAGUCACCUUUUUUCACAUAGAACUCUAGUUUUUUUGUAUGGUUUUCGAGAGAAAUGGAAUUUAUUAAGCUAAUAGGCUCCAGCAAGUGAGGAAUAUCCCCCAUCAAAAUUUCACGAGUAAUAUAACUAUUAAGGUGAUUAAGAUCUAAAGAUUCCUAAUCUUUCAACAAUAUAUAUAUAUAUAUGGGAUAAGAUCAAGGGACAAAUAUUUUUACAAAUACUUUUACACUCUUUUUAAGCCUUUUGAUUACAUGACAUCCAAUGGUUCUUAUUUAUUCAUUAAAUGACAUGGAUGCUUAUGUGGAUUUUAACUAAUAUUAAAGAUAAAAAAAAACAGAAAAAAAAAUAUAAAACUGGAAAAUUAAAACUAAAAUUAAAAAAGGAAGAAGCUCUAGUUGUACACAUUCCUCCUUCUCCCCCUUUGCUAAUGUGGUUUUGCAACUUCAUGUCCUGGAUUGAUACGAAAUUAUGAUGCCUUCUACAAGAAGCUCUAGUUGUGAUUUCUGCAGCUCUCGUUUCAAAUUUCCAACCAUCUUGCCGACCCCAACCUAUAGCAUGACCUGCAACAUGAAGUUGCAAAACCACAUCAGCAAAGGGGGAGACGGAGGACUACGUACAACUAGGGUUUCUUCCUUUUUUUAAUUUUAGUUUUCAUUUUCCAGAUUUUAUGUUUUUUUUAGUUUUAUUUUAUCUUUAAUAUUAGUUAAAAUCCACAUACGCAUCUAUGUCAUUUAAUGAAUAAAUAAGAACAAUUAGAUGUCAUGUGUUUGUACCAUACUUGACCAAUCCCGAAACUACUGAGCACCGGUCAACGUUAUACCGUCAAGGACCCAGAAGAGUUUCCCUCCAACCAGGUGGAGGCCAAUCACAGCGCGACACGUGUCGAUAUCAGAAGCCAAUCAUAGCGCGACACGUGUCAACAUCAGAAGUCAAGCACAACACGACACGUGUCAAUGUCAGAACAAAGCUAGAAACUCUCUUCUAUAAAAGGAGAUCAUUCUCCCACAAUAUUUCCUAAUGUCAUUUGUACUAAAUCAUUCACUAGUACUCACUAAAUGAGAGCUUGAAUCUAUGUACUUGUGUAAACCCUUCAUAAUUAAUGAGAACUCCUCUACUCCGUGGACGUAGCCAAUCUGGGUGAACCACGUAGAUCUUGUGUUUGCUUCCCUGUCUCUAUCCAUUUACAUACUUAUCCACACUAGUGACCGAAGCAAUCUAGCGAAGGUCACAAACUUGACACUUUCUGUUGUACUAAAGUUCUCACUGAUUUUGUGCAUCAACAUCAUGUAAUCAAAAAGCUUAAAAAGAAUGUAAAAGUAUUUGUAAAAAUAUUUGUCCUUUGAUCCUAUCCCUAUAUAUAUAUAUAUAUAUAUAUAUAUGGGAGCAAAGUUGCAUUUGAUCGAAUGAAAUUACCGGAACAUCCUCAAAAAAAAACAUAAAAGUUGGGUUAUGACAGUUUGAGAGGCUAAUUCUAAAAUAAUAAGAGAGAAAUUAAUUAAAAGGAAAACUAAUGAAAAGGGCUUGAAAACUUUGAGUUUUAAUGAUAAGGACAAAAUAAAGGGUAAAGUGAAUAGUACCAGGAUUGACUUUUUAGUGUAAAAAUGUGGUUUUUCGUUAAAGUGAACAGUACCGGGUGCUUUUCGUUAAAGUUCCCUUAAUUAAAACUGGAGACCGUUUAGUUGGUCAAACAUAAACAAAAAGAUAAAUGGCCUACCAACUCAAACCAUCUAUUCCAACCUCAAAUUUUAUAAUUCAUUGCAAAAUUGUUUUUUGCAUAGUGAAUUAUAAUAUGAACGGUUCCAAUAACUGAACAACACUUUGGUUCCGCAUUAAUUUGUAAAGAAAUUCCUUCACAAUUUUGUGAAGCCAAAAAAUUGUUCUUAAAAUGAUUCGUCGUCCAAAUGUGCUGAUGCAUCCACACAAUUUAAGAAAUUGAAUUGGCAAUUUUAAGACCACGUUAAAUAUCCAAAGGUUAAAAUAUACUUUUGAGUUUUACUAUGAACUCUUGGAUAACAUAAUAUAUACAUGAAUGCAUUUUGAGUUGAGCAUAAUUCUUGUACAAAAUAAACAAAUGAACCUCUUAUACCAUAAGCUUUUAUGGAGAAGACGAGCAUCAUCUCCAAUAAAGUACAUACAAACGGGGGCCGUCAGACCGAUCUACGUACUGGCGUCUACGGACGGUUCAACGCUCGAUGGAGAUACCUCUGCGUUGUAAUACCAGAGUUGUUUCAGCUCGUGCCUUAUCAGUCCCAAAAUCACUGUAACACCUAGUGACCAGAGAAGGAAUAGAAGGCAAAGUAAAACAUCUGCAAAUUUUACCGGCCUAAAAUUGGAAAAACGCGUCUAGAAAACCAAACAGAAGAUGUAAGAUCAAUGCGCUGGAGAUUACCUAGUGUACAUGGAACGAGAUAGAGGAGUGCAGGCUGGCCGUUGCCAUUCAUGAGAUACAAACCCAGGUAAGUAAGACCGAGUCCUGGAAAAGGAAUAACGUACCAUUAGUACCACAUGAAGACAAUAUGGACAUGUUUAGUUCGAUCAUGCUGCAGUCUGCUAUUAAAAGGAAAUGGAAUAAAUACAGGAGCGUGAAAAUCACUACCGUAUCCAGAAUUCUAAUAGCUAGGGCAAGUAAUACUAAUAACUAGGGCAAGAACAAAAGAAGAAGAAAAGACGAGUAGGUUAGAAACUUAAAAUAUGCAGACAAAAACAAGUGCGUUGAACUUAUCUGCAUCACAAGUAUAGAUCCCGUGAAACCACAGCAUGGCAACUUUUCGGUUCACGGGACCGCUGUCUGCAUGCAGUACUGCUCCUCCCAUUCCUUCCCACCACCACCACCAAUAAUAAUCCUUUGCUUCUCAUUCCCCCUAUAAAACUAAAGCAGCAGAGAACCGACUGGCUGCGUGCAUUCCCUCCACAACACCCCAACGCGUAAGUUAAUCAGGAUGGAUCGACAGGCUUUCCAAACCUACAGGUCUCUAUGGAGGGUGCUCGUCAAAAGCUGGUCGUAGUUUUGGCUGCUGUGGUUUUGGUUGUAAUUGCAGGCAAUGGCGGUUUUGUUCAGGUUGAUAAUGCUCAGAACAUAUGCAACGUCUCUGUCACCGAUUUGAUGACUUGCAGGGCGGCUGUGACUUCUCCGAAUCUGGCACCGCCUACAAAAGCCUGCUGCGCGGCGCUGUCGCACGCCAACCUGAGCUGCCUUUGCUCCUACAAGAACUCCAGUGUCUUGCCUUCUCUGGGGAUUGACCCUAACCUUGCCCUACAGCUUCCCGCCAAGUGCAAGCUUCCCCAUCCUGCCAAUUGCUAGACAGAGCGACGUACACAAUGGUCUAAUCAACAAACAUGAUUUAGUUACGAUUAAGAUAUGAUUAAUCGUGCAAUCAUGUACAACUUCGGAUAAUU